GUUUUAAUAAUUUAAAUAAAAUUUUGAUCUUGUAAAUCAAACUUAAGGAUUACCUUUUAAAACU
RNAcentral lists this transfer RNA (64 nucleotides) under Pseudoglomeris beybienkoi. RNAcentral's name for it is "tRNA-Thr". The record is from RNAcentral. Lineage: Eukaryota; Metazoa; Arthropoda; Insecta; Blattodea; Blaberidae.